This 406-nucleotide ribosomal RNA is filed under the name uncultured bacterium. Its description in RNAcentral is "partial 16S ribosomal RNA". It matches the Rfam family "Bacterial small subunit ribosomal RNA", at positions 30 to 526 of the family's 1533-position model. The record is from RNAcentral.
AUUGAACGCUGGCGGCAGGCCUAACACAUGCAAGUCGAACGAGUGGCGGCCGGGUGAGUAAUGUCUGGGAAACUGCCUGAUGGAGGGGGAUAACUACUGGAAACGGUAGCUAAUACCGCAUACCAUCGGAUGUGCCCAGAUGGGAUUCGCUCGUAGGGGGGGUAACGGCGCACCUAGGCGACGAUCCCUAGCUGGUCUGAGAGGAUGCACAGCCAAACUGUAACUGAGACACGGUCCAUACUCCUACGGGAGGCAGCAGUGGGGAAUAUUGUACAAUGGGCGCAAGCCUGAUGCAGCCAUGCCGCGUGUAUGAAGAAGGCCUUCGUGUUGUAAAGUACUUUCAGCGGGGAGGCGUUACCCGCAGAAGAAGCACCGGCUAACUCCGUGCCAGCCGCCGCGGUAAUAC